Molecule: ribosomal RNA, 253 nt
Filed under: uncultured bacterium
Lineage: Bacteria
Description: partial 16S ribosomal RNA
Rfam family: Bacterial small subunit ribosomal RNA
Source: RNAcentral
UACGAAGGGGGCUAGCGUUGUUCGGAUUUACUGGGCGUAAAGCGCACGUAGGCGGAUAUUUAAGUCAGAGGUGAAAUCCCGGGGCUCAACCCUGGAACUGCCUUUGAUACUGGGUAUCUAGAGUACAGAAGAGGUAAGUGGAAUUCCGAGUGUAGAGGUGAAAUUCGUAGAUAUUCGGAGGAACACCAGUGGCGAAGGCGGCUUACUGGUCUGUUACUGACGCUGAGGUGCGAAAGCGUGGGGAGCAAACAGG